Molecule: unclassified non-coding RNA, 200 nt
Filed under: uncultured Rhodotorula
Lineage: Eukaryota; Fungi; Basidiomycota
Description: sequence contains ITS2
Source: RNAcentral
UUAAGUUCAGCGGGUAGUCCUGACUGAUUUGAGGUCUAAAGCUUAAGAUGCUUUAAAAGCGCAUUAGAAGCACCGCUUACUUUUGAAGAAGACGUCCUCAGCGAAAUAAUUAUUACGCCGAGUCAAACCGUCUAUUUCAAAGGGGUUGCUCGUGUAUUUCAGUUGAGCCGGCAAUUUACGCCGACAACAACCAUAAUCCA